Molecule: ribosomal RNA, 496 nt
Filed under: uncultured bacterium
Lineage: Bacteria
Description: partial 16S ribosomal RNA
Rfam family: Bacterial small subunit ribosomal RNA
Source: RNAcentral
AUGAACGCUGGCGGCGUGCCUCAUCCAUGCAAGUCGCGCGAACGGACGAGAAGCUUGCUUCUCUGAUGUUAGCGGCGGACGGGUGAGUAACACGUGGAUAACCUACCUAUAAGACUGGGAUAACUUCGGGAAACCGGAGCUAAUACCGGAUAAUAUUUUGAACCGCAUGGUUCAAAAGUGAAAGACGGUCUUGCUGUCACUUAUAGAUGGAUCCGCGCUGCAUUAGCUAGUUGGUAAGGUAACGGCUUACCAAGGCAACGAUGCAUAGCCGACCUGAGAGGGGGAUUGGCCAAACUGGAACUGAGACACGGUCCCAACUCCCACGGGAGGCAGGAGUAGGGAAUCUUUCGGCAUGGGCGGAAGCCUGACGGGACCACGCCGGGGUGGGUGAGAAGGUCUUCGGAUCGUAAAACUCUGUUAUUAGGGAAGAACAUAUGUGUAAGUAACUGUGCACAUCUUGACGGUACCUAAUCAGAAAGCCACGGCUAACUACGUG